GACGAACGCUGGCGGCGUGCUUAACACAUGCAAGUCGAACGGAAAGGCCCUGCUUUUGUGGGGUGCUCGAGUGGCGAACGGGUGAGUAACACGUGAGUAACCUGCCCUUGACUUUGGGAUAACUUCAGGAAACUGGGGCUAAUACCGGAUAGGAGCGCCUGCUGCAUGGUGGGGGUUGGAAAGUUUCGGCGGUUGGGGAUGGACUCGCGGCUUAUCAGCUUGUAGGUGGGGUAGUGGCUUACCAAGGCUUUGACGGGUAGCCGGCCUGAGAGGGUGACCGGCCACAUUGGGACUGAGAUACGGCCCAGACUCCUACGGGAGGCAGCAGUGGGGAAUAGUGCACAAUGGGCGGAAGCCUGAUGCAGCAACGCCGCGUGCGGGAUGACGGCCUUCGGGUUGUAAACCGCUUUCGCCUGUGACGAAGCGUGAGUGACGGUAAUGGGUAAAGAAGCACCGGCUAACUACGUG
This 468-nucleotide ribosomal RNA is filed under the name uncultured bacterium. RNAcentral describes it as "partial 16S ribosomal RNA". It matches the Rfam family "Bacterial small subunit ribosomal RNA", at positions 28 to 507 of the family's 1533-position model. The record is from RNAcentral.